Molecule: ribosomal RNA, 558 nt
Filed under: Bos taurus (domestic cattle)
Lineage: Eukaryota; Metazoa; Chordata; Mammalia; Artiodactyla; Bovidae
Description: similar to 16S ribosomal RNA
Source: RNAcentral
GUCAGUUGAGAUGUUAUCAUUGGUUGUCUUAAGGCGCUUGAUUUAAAGUUGGCCUUAUUUCUCUUGUCCUUUCGUACUGGGAGAAAUACGUAAUAGAUAGAAACCGACCUGGAUUACUCCGGUCUGAACUCAGAUCACGUAGGACUUUAAUCGUUGAACAAACGAACCUUUGAUAGCGGUUGCACCAUCAGGAUGUCCUGAUCCAACAUCGAGGUCGUAAACCCUAUUGUCGAUAUGGACUCUUGAAUAGGAUUGCGCUGUUAUCCCUAGGGUAACUUGUUCCGUUGAUCAAGUUUUGGAUCAAUGAGCGAUAGAGUGAUUUGACUUGUGGGUCUAGUCUUUAAAAUCGCUCGGAGGAUUUUUUAUUCUCCGAGGUCACCCCAACCGAAACUACCAACUCAUGGAGAUGUGUUAUUCCUUAAUGGUUAAAUCUAUUCUCUUUGGGUUGGUUAGUUANAGCUCCAUAGGGUCUUCUCGUCUUAUUUGUGCAUUCCCGCCUCUUCACGGGAAGGUCAAUUUCACUGAUUGGNAGUACAGAGACAGUAAAACCUCGUGCGG